UACGUAGGGGGCAAGCGUUGUCCGGAUUUAUUGGGCGUAAAGAGCGUGUAGGCGGCCUGACAGGUCUGCUGUGAAAACUCGAGGCUCAACCUCGAGAUGUCGGCGGAAACCGUCUGGCUAGAGUCCGGAAGAGGAGAGUGGAAUUCCUGGUGUAGCGGUGAAAAUGCGCAGAUAUCAGGAAGAACACCUAUGGCGAAGGCAGCUCUCUGGGGACGGUACUGACGCUGAGACGCGAAAAGCGUGGGGGAGCGAACAGG
This 257-nucleotide ribosomal RNA is filed under the name uncultured bacterium. RNAcentral's name for it is "partial 16S ribosomal RNA". It matches the Rfam family "Bacterial small subunit ribosomal RNA", at positions 524 to 776 of the family's 1533-position model. The record is from RNAcentral.